CCUCGAUAAAGGCAAAGCCUCCGAAAGGAGGCGACGCAAAGCUACAGGUCUAAGUCAGCACAAGGUUAUGGCUGAUAUGACGGCUGAGCUACCGAA
RNAcentral lists this non-coding RNA (96 nucleotides) under Candidatus Omnitrophota bacterium. RNAcentral describes it as "Omnitrophica bacterium c-di-GMP sequence". It matches the Rfam family "c-di-GMP-I riboswitch aptamer". From Rfam's summary of the family: GEMM was predicted in a large-scale screen for bacterial structured RNA regulatory elements. Genes associated with GEMM are involved in a diverse array of functions, including chemotaxis regulation, signal transduction, secretion and chitin. Lineage: Bacteria; Pseudomonadati; Candidatus Omnitrophota. The record is from RNAcentral.